This 524-nucleotide ribosomal RNA is filed under the name uncultured bacterium. RNAcentral's name for it is "partial 16S ribosomal RNA". It matches the Rfam family "Bacterial small subunit ribosomal RNA", at positions 28 to 523 of the family's 1533-position model. The record is from RNAcentral.
GACGAACGCUGGCGACGUGCCUAAUACAGGCAAGUCGAACGAAGCUGUUUUAACUGGUGCUUGCACCGACUUAAACAACUGAGUGGCGAACGGGUGAGUAACACGUGGGUAACCUGCCCCAAAGCGGGGGAUAACAUUUGGAAACAGAUGCUAAUACCGCAUAACCACAGAAACCACAUGGUUUCUGUGUCAAAGAUGGUUUCGGCUAUCACUUUGGGAUGGACCCGCGGCGUAUUAGCUAGUUGGUAAGGUAAUGGCUUACCAAGGCAAUGAUACGUAGCCGAACUGAGAGGUUGAUCGGCCACAUUGGGACUGAGACACGGCCCAAACUCCUACGGGAGGCAGCAGUAGGGAAUCUUCCACAAUGGACGAAAGUCUGAUGGAGCAACGCCGCGUGAGUGAAGAAGGUUUUCGGAUCGUAAAACUCUGUUGUCAGAGAAGAACGUGUGCGAGAGUAACUGCUCGUGCAGUGACGGUAUCUGGCCAGAAAGCCACGGCUAACUACGUGCCAGCAGCCGCCGUAA